GGAGGUAUGGCUGAGUGGCUUAAGGCAUUGGUUUGCUACAUCAUGCAUGGGUUCGAAUCCCAUUUCCUCCG
This is a non-coding RNA of Centaurea solstitialis (yellow star-thistle), 71 nucleotides long. NCBI's taxonomy places the organism in Eukaryota, Viridiplantae, Streptophyta, Magnoliopsida, Asterales, Asteraceae. The record is from the annotation of a GenBank genome assembly.